ACGACUCUCGGCAACGGAUAUCUCGGCUCACGCAUCGAUGRAGAACGCAGCAAAAUGCGAUACUUGGUGUGAAUUGCAGAAUCCCGUGAACCAUCGAGUUUUUGAACGCAAGUUGCGCCCGAAGCCAUUUGGUUGAGGGCACGUCUGCCUGGGCGUCACGC
This 161-nucleotide ribosomal RNA is filed under the name Xerochrysum sp. Telford 13334. RNAcentral describes it as "5.8S ribosomal RNA". It matches the Rfam family "5.8S ribosomal RNA". From Rfam's summary of the family: 5.8S ribosomal RNA (5.8S rRNA) is a component of the large subunit of the eukaryotic ribosome. It is transcribed by RNA polymerase I as part of the 45S precursor that also contains 18S and 28S rRNA. The record is from RNAcentral. Lineage: Eukaryota; Viridiplantae; Streptophyta; Magnoliopsida; Asterales; Asteraceae.